GCACGGUGGAGUGUGGAGGCUGAAACCAGCUCUAAAGAAGUAUGCCUGUGAACUCACACUGGACCCAAACAAGGCCAACAGACGACUCUCUCUGUCUGAGGACAACAGAAAGGUGACGGGGUUUGGAGAGGAUCAGUCGUGUCCGGAUCACCCAGAGAGAUUUGCCCUCCGGCCCCAGGUGUUGUGUAGAGAGGCUCUGACUGGCCACUGUUACUGGGAGGUAGAGAGGGAAGGACGUGCUCUGCUAGGAGUGACAUACAGAGGAAUCACAAGGAGAGGAGAGGGUGUUGACAGCUUGCUUGGAAGGAACAACAAGUCCUGGAUUCUUGUUUGUCAUGAUGAUAGUUACUUUGCCUGGUACAACGGUAGAGGAACAGACAUAGUUCUCCCUUCCUCUGGUUCUCACCAGAGUAGGAGUGUAUCUGGACCGGCCUGCUGGCUCUCUGUCCUUCUACAGAGUGUCCCCAGGUGGAGGAGGGUCCUCAGACACACUGACACACAUCCACACCUUCCAUUCCUCCUUCACCCAGGAGGACCUCCUCCCUGCGUUUGGGUUCCCUGUGCUCUCUUCAACUGUAGGUUCCUCAGUGUCUCUGUGUCAGUUAUAGUCCCUCUCCUCUCUCUCUCCCCCCCCCCCCCCCCCAGUCGGAGGACGCACGCAGAUAUUAACCCACACGCAUAUAUUAACCCACACGCAUAUAUUAACACACACACAUAUAUUAACACAAAUGUGCCCACACAUGAACACA
This is a long non-coding RNA of Gadus morhua (Atlantic cod), 749 nucleotides long. RefSeq lists it as uncharacterized. The transcript has 2 exons. Lineage: Eukaryota; Metazoa; Chordata; Actinopteri; Gadiformes; Gadidae. The record is from RefSeq and is a predicted model, not a curated record.